UUCCUACGGGGCGCAGCAGUGGGGAAUAUUGCACAAUGGGGGAAACCCUGAUGCAGCAACGCCGCGUGAGUGAAGAAGUAUCUCGGUAUGUAAAGCUCUAUCAGCAGGGAAGAAAAUGACGGUACCUGACUAAGAAGCCCCGGCUAACUAUGUGCCAGCAGCCGCGGUAAUACGUAGGGGGCAAGCGUUAUCCGGAUUUACUGGGUGUAAAGGGAGCGUAGACGGUGUGGCAAGUCGGAAGUG
This 243-nucleotide ribosomal RNA is filed under the name uncultured bacterium. RNAcentral describes it as "partial 16S ribosomal RNA". It matches the Rfam family "Bacterial small subunit ribosomal RNA", at positions 336 to 596 of the family's 1533-position model. The record is from RNAcentral.